Molecule: ribosomal RNA, 420 nt
Filed under: bacterium
Lineage: Bacteria
Description: partial 16S ribosomal RNA
Rfam family: Bacterial small subunit ribosomal RNA
Source: RNAcentral
UGGGGGAUAUUGCACAAUGGGCGAAAGCCUGAUGCAGCGACGCCGCGUGGGGGAUGAAGGCUUUCGGGUUGUAAACCUCUUUCGCUAUCGAACAGGGCCCGCUUAGGGUGGGUUGAGGGUAGGUGGAGAAGAAGCGCCGGCUAACUACGUGCCAGCAGCCGCGGUAAUACGUAGGGCGCGAGCGUUGUCCGGAAUUAUUGGGCGUAAAGGACAUGGAGGCGGCUUGUUGCGCCUGCUGUGACAACGCGGGGCUUAACUUCGCGCGUGCAGUGGGUACGGGCAGGCUUGAGUGUGGUAGGGGUGACUGGAAUUACAGGUGUAGCGGUGGAAUACGCCGAUAUCUGGAGGGACACCGAUGGCGAAGGCAGGUCACUGGGCCAUUACUGACGCUGAGGAGCGAAAGCAUGGGUAGCGAACAGG